This 250-nucleotide unclassified non-coding RNA is filed under the name Hevea brasiliensis (rubber tree). Lineage: Eukaryota; Viridiplantae; Streptophyta; Magnoliopsida; Malpighiales; Euphorbiaceae. The record is from RNAcentral.
UUAAGGGCUACUCUAUGCGGUUACUUAGGCAUAGUUUUCUCUUUUUUGGUUUGGUCUUGUCUUGUCAUUUUGAGUGUAGGGUGUUUUGCAUUUGGAUCUCUUGUGGGAUUGAGAGCCCUUCUCUUGUUGAAAGUGUGAUUUUAUUUUAAAAAAAUUCUUAUAGGCAAAUAUCUCCAAGUAAGAAAGAGAGUGAAGCUUUAAUAUAUGCAAUUUGAUUGGGAAAUUGUAAAUCCGAAAGAGUGAAAAAAAA